This 275-nucleotide ribosomal RNA is filed under the name uncultured prokaryote. Its description in RNAcentral is "partial 16S ribosomal RNA". It matches the Rfam family "Bacterial small subunit ribosomal RNA", at positions 524 to 797 of the family's 1533-position model. The record is from RNAcentral.
CACGUAGGAGGCAAACGUUAUCCGGAUUUACUGGGCGUAAAGCGCGUGUAGGUGGUUCUGUAAGUAGGGCGUGAAAGCUCCCGGCUCAACUGGGAGAUGCCGUUCUAAACUGCAGAGCUAGAGGAUGGUAGAGGGAGGUGGAAUUCCAGGUGUAGCGGUGGAAUGCGCAGAUAUCUGGAGGAACACCAGUGGCGAAGGCGGCCUCCUGGACCAUUCCUGACACUCAGACGCGAAAGCUAGGGUAGCAAACGGGAUUAGAUACCCCGGUAGUUCCU